CCCUUGGUCCCUCAACAGGACUGUCAGAGGCCCUUUUCAGAGCCACUGCUUCGCUGGCCUCAUUGCCCUACUUGCUCCUCCAUCCUCACCACAUUUCAGGGCUCUGGCUGCUACAUGCUGUUCCUACUCCUAGAAUGCCAUUCCCACCUCCUCUGCUUUGCAAACUCCUGCCCAUCCCUUUGGGAAUCAGCACCAGAGACUCUUCCUUUCUGAAGCCUCCCCACUGCUGCAAGCAGAGAUGGACGCACCCUCCCUCCUCUACUAGCAACACCCCCACCGAGCCCAAUUAGACUCCUGCCAUAUUGUGGCCAGGGGUUGUUUGCUGUUCUCUCUCCCCGACUCAAAUGCCAGCUUGCUCACUAAGUCUCACUCCCGCCUGGAUUGCCCAUGCCCAGCCCGUGAUUGGUGCUCAGCAUCUGUUACAAUUAUUCCUAGUCAAAGAGGAGAAAAGUCCCCACCUAGGACGCCUCACUCAACCUUAGGCAAGUAGGGGAGGUGGUCCUUGGAGACUUAGGGCGAGGCAGCCUCCCGCCCCACUUAUCCUCCACCUGCUCCCACUUCUUUUGUGAUUUAAUUGGGAUUUGGUGCUUCAGCCUCUUGGCCGGCCCCUUUAGAAAGAGAGUCAUCAGCGGUGAAAGCCCUUCACAUCACUCACAUCAACAGGGCUUGCUGAAACGAUGCCCGUGGCCCUACCUACCUGGCCUCUCCAGCACCUGCACCAAGCAUGCGGGACCUGGCUAUCCAGUGUCCCUGCACCGGGCGGGGGCAUUAUCUUGGCGGUGUUGGAGCUUAGGAAAUUAAUGAAAAAGGAAGGAAAGGCCCUGGGAUCUCAGCCUCGCAGUCAGGGCUGGAUGACCCCUGAAGCGGGCAGUAUUCAGAAGCUAAUGUGCUGACCAGGGAAGCUCAGCUGGUCCCAGUCCUGUGCGCCCCGCAUCGCUUUCUCCUCGUGCCAGACCAUGAGCUGCUGGCCAAGAGGCAGCAGGCACGUUGCUGCAAAUGCCAAGCAGGGGCAGCUGUGCCAAGAUUUGCAGGAACAGAUGAUUCCUUCACAGCCCAGGAGGCUUAACCCAUCCGGCUACCCUCACUGAUUCGAAAGGAAAUCUGGAAGGAAACCGUUGCUGGUCACCAGCCACGUGCAGGCCCUGGUAGAGAAAUAAGCACGGUGAGCUGAACUGGCAUGUCUAAUGUGCAGUUGUAUGGCGUGCUGGUCUUCACUUAGGUUCUCAUCAUUGCUACAGUGGCCAGAGCUGGUUGGCAGAAGAGGCAAUAAGAAGCCUGGGAGCUGCAGCUACUGGAGCCCGUGGGCCUAGAGGCCGUGUUCCACAACAAGAGAAGCCACCACAGGGAGCAGCCCACACACUGCAACGAGAGAGGAGCCCCGACUUGCCGCAACUAGAGAAAAGCCCGCACGGCAACCAAGAC
This is a long non-coding RNA of Bubalus bubalis (water buffalo), 1422 nucleotides long. RefSeq lists it as uncharacterized. The transcript is spliced from 3 exons. Lineage: Eukaryota; Metazoa; Chordata; Mammalia; Artiodactyla; Bovidae. The record is from RefSeq and is a predicted model, not a curated record.